AAAGAAAUCAACCGAGAUUCCCCCAGUAGCGGCGAGCGAACGGGGAGGAGCCCAGAGCCUGAAUCAGCAUGUGUGUUAGUGGAAGCGUCUGGAAAGGCGCGCGAUACAGGGUGACAGCCCCGUACACAAAAGCGCAUGUGCUGUGAGCUCGAUGAGUAGGGCGGGACACGUGGUAUCCUGUCUGAAUAUGGGGGGACCAUCCUCCAAGGCUAAAUACUCCUGACUGACCGAUAGUGAACCAGUACCGUGAGGGAAAGGCGAAAAGAACCCCGGCGAGGGGAGUGAAAAAGAACCUGAAACCGUGUACGUACAAGCAGUGGGAGCACAGGUUUACCUGUGUGACUGCGUACCUUUUGUAUAAUGGGUCAGCGACUUAUAUUCUGUAGCAAGGUUAACCGUAUAGGGGAGCCGGAGGGAAACCGAGUCUUAACCGGGCGUUAAGUUGCAGGGUAUAGACCCGAAACCCGGUGAUCUAGCCAUGGGCAGGUUGAAGGUUGGGUAACACUAACUGGAGGACCGAACCGACUAAUGUUGAAAAAUUAGCGGAUGACCUGUGGCUGGGGGUGAAAGGCCAAUCAAACCGGGAGAUAGCUGGUUCUCCCCGAAAGCUAUUUAGGUAGCGCCUCGUGAAUUCAUCUCCGGGGGUAGAGCACUGUUUCGGCUAGGGGGCCAUCCCGGCUUACCAACCCGAUGCAAACUGCGAAUACCGGAGAAUGU
This 717-nucleotide ribosomal RNA is filed under the name Salmonella enterica subsp. enterica serovar Paratyphi A. Its description in RNAcentral is "partial 23S ribosomal RNA". It matches the Rfam family "Bacterial large subunit ribosomal RNA", at positions 218 to 973 of the family's 2925-position model. The record is from RNAcentral. Lineage: Bacteria; Pseudomonadati; Pseudomonadota; Gammaproteobacteria; Enterobacterales; Enterobacteriaceae.